GCCUUAGAAGCCACGCCAAGCGCCUCUGUCUUUUGUGCUACAUAUAUAGAACACCGUUUGGUUUCUCAGCCACAACCCACAGGCCACACCCACACACACACACACACAAACACUAUCCUCUUCAAUUCCGCACCUUUUUGUUUUUGUGUUGUCUUUGUCUGUUCCAUUCGGGCACAGAAUGUGGCGGUCCUGAUAGAGUUAACUAUAAUAAAAAUCAAACGAAUGAGAACCCAAACCAUGCCUUCUCUGGAUCUCAAGGACCUUCAAGAAAAGCUCUCCAUUCAAUUCAGGCCAUUGCAGCGCUCUUUUGAGUUUUGGCUACGGACCGCUGAUAUCUACGCUGGUUACAAGGCUUUUCAAGUUCGAGUGAGUUUCGAGAAGGAUGUGCUGAAGCGGGAGGCAAUGUGGGAGAGACAGCAUGAGUUUGCCGCCGAUAAAAUUUAUGCCAUGUGCUCUGACAUGGGUGGGUUCUUCCUUAAGGUUGCCCAAAUCAUUGGAAAGCCUGACUUGGCCCCUGCCGCAUGGGUGAGAAGGCUUGUUACAUUAUGUGAUCAAGCUCCUGCGACCCCAUUUGGAGGGAUUCAGCUCGUGCUCAAGGAGGAGCUAGGUCAAAAUCUCAAUAACAUGUUUGAAAGAUUCGAUGUACAGCCUCUCGGUUCUGCCUCAAUUGCACAGGUUCAUCGAGCAAGGUUGAAGGGUGAUAAGAAUGAUGUUGUUGUCAAGGUGCAACAUCCUGGAGUACAGGAGCUCAUGAUGACGGACAUUAGGAACUUGCAGGCAUUUGCAUUAUACAUGCAAAAAACAGAUAUCAAAUUCGAUUUGUAUUCUAUAAUGAAGGAAAUGGAGAAACAGAUUGGAUAUGAAUUUGACUUUGUGAGGGAGGCCAAUGCGAUGGAAAGAAUUCAGCAUUUCCUGUAUGAAAACAAUAAGAAGUCUCCGGUUUUAGUGCCGCGGGUGCUGAAGAAUCUGGCAACUAGGAGGGUCUUAGUGAUGGAAUACAUUGAUGGAACCCCAAUCCUGAAACUUGGUGAUGAAAUAGCUAAGAGAGGAAUAAAUCCUGACAGUAAGAUUGCAGUAACAGCAAAGCGGAAUAUACUCCAAAGCCUGACACUAGCAUAUGGACAAAUGAUACUGAAGAGUGGUUUUUUCCAUGCAGAUCCUCAUCCAGGGAAUAUCCUGAUAUGCAAAGGUUCAGAGGUGGCCUUGCUAGACUAUGGGCAAGUGAAGGAUCUUCCAGAUAAUUUGAGGCUCGCCUAUGCCAAUUUGAUUGUUUCUCUUGCUGAUAAGAACCCCAUGAGAGUAUCAGAGAGCAUCAGGGAGCUUGGAAUAGGUACUUUCAGCAAAUGUCAGAACGAACAACAGGAAAUGUUUAAGUUGGCAGAGACAUUGUUUGACACAAAACUUCCUCCUGGGGUGACCACCUUGCAACCUUUUGCAGAGGAUUCUUCAAUUAAGAAAAUUGCAGUGUUGGCUUUUCCAGAGGAACUAUUUUCUGUUCUUCGCACAGUGCAUCUUUUGAGAGGACUUAGCGUUGGUAUGGGGAUCAACUAUUCGUGCGCUGAACAGUGGAGACCCAUUGCUGAAGAAGCUCUGUAUCAUGCUGGCAGAUUAAAAGAUGUAGAAUUCAAAUCUAAAGUUCGUAAACGACGGUUCUUCCGAAGAUUACUUCCACGGGGAUGAUUGGCCUGUGAGAAGCAGGUGUGUAAUCGUGAGCCCUUGGUUUUCAAGUUAUUAGCUCUCUCUUGCAGUUUUGGAGGGCAAAAAUUGUAGUUGGCACGGAAGCAGCUUUCGGUACUUUGCAAAUCGUUUGAUUAGUUAUCGGGAGGAUUUCACUGAAGAUGAUUUGAAUCUCCUACUAGGUCUCUUUUCUCGAAGCUUAUGGGACUCCAAACAUCAAAUUACUGGGUUACAGGGGUUGAUGUACUAAAAACAUAUAAAGCAGUUGAUUGUUAAAAAAUUAAUCUAUGGUUAAUAUUUUAUCUUCCAAAUCCAAUGGUUCACAGUUAUUUUAA
This is an RNA transcript of Tripterygium wilfordii, 2012 nucleotides long. It is a transcript of the gene named aarF domain-containing protein kinase 1, with no coding region annotated. The transcript has 13 exons. The record is from RefSeq and is a predicted model, not a curated record. Lineage: Eukaryota; Viridiplantae; Streptophyta; Magnoliopsida; Celastrales; Celastraceae.